UCAAAUAAAUAAAAUCUUUAAAUAAAAAGAAAAAGGUGCUCCCAUGUUUAAAAAAAAAAACCUAAGUGAAAAGAAUUAGGUGUCCAACCUGAGCCCAGCAUAGCCCUUACCAGGCCAGGUGCCGAGUGCUAUGUGGGCAAAGAGGCCACAGAGAGGCAGGACUCCCUACAGAGCAGGCCCGUGUGGAGGCAGCGUGUCACAACCACUGGACCCAGUGUACAGCACUGAGGACAGCCCAGCAGUCCUCACUGAGGACCUUCCCAGCAGGUCAGGAAAAGCUCUUGGGGUGAUGGGACUGGACCUCUUCCGCGGACAUCACUGCGGCUCUGCCCCAGCACUGCCUGCUCCCUGCUCUGAAAGACCCAGACCCUGGUCCAGGGAUCAGAAGCACUGUGAGACAGAAAUCACAAGGAGGCAGAGAGGAGGCAGAGAGAGA
Molecule: long non-coding RNA, 436 nt
Organism: Neogale vison (American mink)
Lineage: Eukaryota; Metazoa; Chordata; Mammalia; Carnivora; Mustelidae
Exons: 3
Source: RefSeq, a predicted model, not a curated record